GACGAACGCUGGCGGCGUGCUUAACACAUGCAAGUCGAACGGAAAGGCCCUGCUUUUGUGGGGUGCUCGAGUGGCGAACGGGUGAGUAACACGUGAGUAACCUGCCCUUGACUUUGGGAUAACUUCAGGAAACUGGGGCUAAUACCGGAUAGGAGCUCCUGCUGCAUGGUGGGGGUUGGAAAGUUUCGGCGGUUGGGGAUGGACUCGCGGCUUAUCAGCUUGUUGGUGGGGUAGUGGCUUACCAAGGCUUUGACGGGUAGCCCGCCUGAGAGGGUGACCGGCCACAUUGGGACUGAGGUAGGGCCCAGACGCCUACGUGAGGCAGCAGUGGGGAAUAUUGCACAAUGGGCGGAAGCCUGAUGCAGCAACGCCGCGUGCGGGAUGACGGCCUUCGGGUUGUAAACCGCUUUCGCCUGUGACGAAGCGUGAGUGACGGUAAUGGAUAAAGAAGCACCGGCUAACUACGUG
This 468-nucleotide ribosomal RNA is filed under the name uncultured bacterium. Its description in RNAcentral is "partial 16S ribosomal RNA". It matches the Rfam family "Bacterial small subunit ribosomal RNA", at positions 28 to 507 of the family's 1533-position model. The record is from RNAcentral.